RNAcentral lists this ribosomal RNA (402 nucleotides) under bacterium. Its description in RNAcentral is "partial 16S ribosomal RNA". It matches the Rfam family "Bacterial small subunit ribosomal RNA", at positions 355 to 776 of the family's 1533-position model. The record is from RNAcentral.
UGGGGAAUUUUGCACAAUGGGGGAAACCCUGAUGCAGCGACGCCGCGUGAUUUAGAAGGCCUUCGGGUUGUAAAAAUCUUUUCUAUGGGAAGAAAAUGACAGUACCAUAGGAAUAAGGACCGGCUAAUUACGUGCCAGCAGCCGCGGUAAUACGUAAGGUCCGAGCGUUGUCCGGAAUCAUUGGGCGUAAAGGGUACGUAGGCGGGUAAGCAAGUUAGAAGUGAAAUCCUAUAGCUCAACUAUAGUAAGCUUUUAAAACUGCUCAUCUUGAGGUAUGGAAGGGAAAGUGGAAUUCCUAGUGUAGCGGUGAAAUGCGCAGAUAUUAGGAGGAAAACCGGUGGCGAAGGCGACUUUCUGGCCAUAACCUGACGCUGAGGUACGAAAGCGUGGGUAGCAAACAGG